This 390-nucleotide ribosomal RNA is filed under the name Triticum aestivum (bread wheat). RNAcentral describes it as "partial small subunit ribosomal RNA". Lineage: Eukaryota; Viridiplantae; Streptophyta; Magnoliopsida; Poales; Poaceae. The record is from RNAcentral.
AUGCAGGGGAUGGCCCUAGCAUUACAACAUACAGAGCGGCAAGUCAUGGUGCAAUCUGAUUCUUCUGAAGCGCUCAAUGUUCUCAGUGAUAGCUUGUCUCGUUCGGCUUAUGGACACCUAGUAGCAGAAAUCAAGUCAAUGAUGAAUGAAAGGGAGUUUGUUCCACAGAAAAUUAGUAGAGCUCAAAACAAGGUAGCAAAUUGUAUGGCAAACUAUAGCCGUACCGAGUCAUGUACUGCGGUGUGGAUGUGCAGAUGUCCUUCAUGUUGUGAGGACUUAUUGCCUCUCGAUUGUAACCCUGAGUUUGGAAUAAAACUCCCAUAUGAUCUUGCAAAAAAAAAAAAAAAAAAACCAUGCCCAGCAGCAGCCACAACGACGUCACCCUCAUGA